GUGUCAGCAGCCGCGGUAAAACGUAGGAGGCGAGCGUUAUCCGGAUUUACUGGGUGUAAAGCGCGUGCAGGCGGUUUCUCAAGUGGUGCGUGAAAGCGCCCGGCUCAACCGGGCGAGGCCGUGCCAAACUGGGGAACUGGAGGUAGGUAGAGGCGGGUGGAAUUCCGGGUGUAGUGGUGAAAUGCGUAGAGAUCCGGAGGAACACCAGAGGCGAAGGCGACCCGCUGGGCCUGACCUGACGCUCAGACGCGAAAGCAUGGGGAGCGAACGGGAUUAGAUACCCGCGUAGUCC
This 292-nucleotide ribosomal RNA is filed under the name uncultured bacterium. Its description in RNAcentral is "partial 16S ribosomal RNA". It matches the Rfam family "Bacterial small subunit ribosomal RNA", at positions 505 to 796 of the family's 1533-position model. The record is from RNAcentral.